GAUGAACGCUAGCUACAGACUUAACACAUGCAAGUCGAGGGGUAACGAGAGGAAAGCUUGCUUUCCUUGUCGACGGCCGGCGCACGGGUGAGUAACGCGUAUCCAACCUGCCCCCAACUAGGGAAUAACCUUGCGAAAGUAAGACUAAUACCCUAUAAUUUCCUCAGAUGUCAUCUGACGAGGAAUAAAGCUUUAUCGGUUCUGGAUGGGGAUGCGUUUGAUUAGCUUGUUGGCGGGGUAACGGCACACAAAGGCAACGCUGAGAAGGGGUUCUGAGAGGAAGGUCCCCCACAUUGUAACUGAGACACGGUCCAAACUCCUACGGGAGGCAGCAGUGAGGAAUAUUGGCCAAUGGGCGGAAGCCUGAACCAGCCAAGUAGCGUGCAGGAUGACGGCCCUAUGGGUUGUAAACUGCUUUUAUACAGGAAUAAAGUUAGCCACGUGUGGUUAUUUGUAGGUACUGUAUGAAUAAGGACCGGCUAAUUCCGUGCCAGCAGCCGCCGUAA
RNAcentral lists this ribosomal RNA (506 nucleotides) under uncultured bacterium. Its description in RNAcentral is "partial 16S ribosomal RNA". It matches the Rfam family "Bacterial small subunit ribosomal RNA", at positions 28 to 523 of the family's 1533-position model. The record is from RNAcentral.